RNAcentral lists this ribosomal RNA (497 nucleotides) under uncultured bacterium. RNAcentral describes it as "partial 16S ribosomal RNA". It matches the Rfam family "Bacterial small subunit ribosomal RNA", at positions 28 to 507 of the family's 1533-position model. The record is from RNAcentral.
GAUGAACGCUGGCGGCGUGCCUAAUACAUGCAAGUCGAGCGAACAGACGAGGAGCUUGCUCCUCUGACGUUAGCGGCGGACGGGUGAGUAACACGUGGAUAACCUACCUAUAAGACUGGGAUAACUUCGGGAAACCGGAGCUAAUACCGGAUAAUAUAUUGAACCGCAUGGUUCAAUAGUGAAAGACGGUUUUGCUGUCACUUAUAGAUGGAUCCGCGCCGCAUUAGCUAGUUGGUAAGGUAACGGCUUACCAAGGCGACGAUGCGUAGCCGACCUGAGAGGGUGAUCGUCGACACUGGAACUGAGACACGGUCCAGACUCCUACGGGUGCCAGCAGUAGGGAAUCUUCCGCAAGGGGCGAAAGCCGGACGGAGCAACGCCGCGUGAGUGAUGAAGGUCUUCGGAUCGUAAAACUCUGUUAUUAGGGAAGAACAAAUGUGUAAGUAACUAUGCACGUCUUGACGGUACCUAAUCAGAAAGCCACGGCUAACUACGUG